RNAcentral lists this ribosomal RNA (452 nucleotides) under Carychium cf. mexicanum C10 AMW-2013. RNAcentral describes it as "partial 16S ribosomal RNA". It matches the Rfam family "Bacterial large subunit ribosomal RNA", at positions 1809 to 2607 of the family's 2925-position model. Lineage: Eukaryota; Metazoa; Mollusca; Gastropoda; Ellobiida; Ellobiidae. The record is from RNAcentral.
AAAAACAUAGCCUUAAGAAAUGAUUUAAGGUAAGCCCUGCCCAGUGGAUAUAUUCUUAACGGCCGCAGUACCUUGACUGUGCUAAGGUAGCGUAAUCAGUUGGCUUUUAAAUGGAGUCCAGAAUGAACGGGGCCAUGGGGAGAGACUGUCUUCUUUCUUGAUUAAUUUAACUUGCUUAAUAGGUGAAAAUACCUUUUUAAAGAAAAAAGACGAGAAGACCCUUAGAGCCUAACAAUAUAAUAUAAUUUAUUUGUUUUUGUUGGGGCGACAAGAAGAUAGACAAAAUUAAACUCUUCUUUUAUACUAAACGAUUAUAAUAUAAAAGAACAGGCUACCUUAGGGAUAACAGCAUAAUUAUUUUUAGUUUGUGACCUCGAUGUUGGACUAGGAACUUGAUGACUAGUCGUCAAUAAAGGAAAGUUCUGUUCGAACUGCUUUUCCUACGUGAUCUG